Molecule: long non-coding RNA, 959 nt
Filed under: Brassica napus (rape)
Lineage: Eukaryota; Viridiplantae; Streptophyta; Magnoliopsida; Brassicales; Brassicaceae
Description: long non-coding RNA (BNAP_LNC016986)
Source: RNAcentral
CGAGGAAAAUUGGCUCACGUCCUCAAUAGUCUUACAGGUUUUAGUUUUUUUUUUUUUUUUUUUUUGUCAACUUGCUUUUAUUAAAAAACCCAUAAGAUAAUUUUACAAAUGGAAUCAGAUUUAAGCCCAUUACAAUCAUUGAACCCAAUUAAAACCAACUUCAUGAUAAGGAUGAACAAAAAUACAGCAUCUGUCCAUCCACGUGUCCUCCUUGCAGCUUAAAAUGGAUCCACAGCUGGAAGAGCUUCUUCAUCACCGGAAAAGCACCGUCCUGGACUCCGAUGAUACAAUUCAUUUCCAGAAAAAAAGCAGUUAAGAUUCCAUUUGCAUGCUCCAAGCUCUCUAGUCGCCAUUGCCUCUGAAAAUACUCCACUGCCUUCGCCAGAUUUGUAGAACUCCAAGAGCUUUACUUGAUUCAAUAACAGUCAUUGUCAAAACGUUUGUCUAUAGGACAAACUUUGACUUUUCUUAAACUGCACCAAAUCACAAAAGCCAUCUUGUAAAACUCAAUUCUUCAAAUCGUUAGAAAACUUUGCCCAAGAUCAAUAUAGCAAAGAUUGACUUCUUAAAGAUAUAAAGAUUGAGAAUGACCGGAAAGGAAGAAGAAAACUUUAGAGACAAGAGGGAAUAAAAUCUUUCAGGUACGAGAGAUGAAGCUUGAUAGAGACUGUAUUAUUUUUUAAAAUCAAAUUCAAUCGAAAAAGGAGAAAGAACACAUAAGAUCAGCUUCGAUUGAAAUUGAUUACACUACAAAAUCGCCAAAGCGAAGAGGAAGAUCGCCUACGCGAAUAUUUAUUGACCAAAAACUAUAAACAAACAAAAAAGAGAAGUUCUCAAAUCCUCUGAAAGAUCAAAGUGUGUUGAGAGGAUUUGAGAGAGAAUUCUCUCUCCCGAAGUAGAGAGAGAAACUAUAGGUUUUAGUUUUCUAUCAAAUCAUUAUAACCAAUUCAAACUAAAUU